UGGUGCUUGCACCUGAUUGACGAUGGAUCACCAGUGAGUGGCGGACGGGUGAGUAACACGUAGGUAACCUGCCCCGGAGCGGGGGAUAACAUUUGGAAACAGAUGCUAAUACCGCAUAACAACAAAAGCCACAUGGCUUUUGUUUGAAAGAUGGCUUUAGCUAUCACUCUGGGAUGGACCUGCGGUGCAUUAGCUAGUUGGUAAGGUAACGGCUUACCAAGGCGAUGAUGCAUAGCCGAGUUGAGAGACUGAUCGGCCACAAUGGAACUGAGACACGGUCCAUACUCCUACGGGAGGCAGCAGUAGGGAAUCUUCCACAAUGGGCGCAAGCCUGAUGGAGCAACACCGCGUGAGUGAAGAAGGGUUUCGGCUCGUAAAGCUCUGUUGUUGGAGAAGAACGUGCGUGAGAGUAACUGUUCACGCAGUGACGGUAUCCAACCAGAAAGUCACGGCUAACUACGUGCCAGCAGCCGCGGUAAUACGUAGGUGGCAAGCGUUAUCCGGAUUUAUUGGGCGUAAAGCGAGCGCAGGCGGUUGCUUAGGUCUGAUGUGAAAGCCUUCGGCUUAACCGAAGAAGUGCAUCGGAAACCGGGCAACUUGAGUGCAGAAGAGGACAGUGGAACUCCAUGUGUAGCGGUGGAAUGCGUA
RNAcentral lists this ribosomal RNA (648 nucleotides) under uncultured bacterium. RNAcentral's name for it is "bacterial SSU rRNA". It matches the Rfam family "Bacterial small subunit ribosomal RNA", at positions 49 to 692 of the family's 1533-position model. The record is from RNAcentral.